AACGCUAGCUACAGGCUUAACACAUGCAAGUCGAGGGGCAGCAUGAACUUAGCUUGCUAAGUUUGAUGGCGACCGGCGCACGGGUGAGUAACACGUAUCCAACCUUCCGUUUACUCAGGGAUAGCCUUUCGAAAGAAAGAUUAAUACCUGAUAGUAUGGUGAGAUUGCAUGAUGGCACCAUUAAAGAUUUAUUGGUAAACGAUGGGGAUGCGUUCCAUUAGGUAGUAGGCGGGGUAACGGCCCACCUAGCCGGCGAUGGAUAGGGGUUCUGAGAGGAAGGUCCCCCACAUUGGAACUGAGACACGGUCCAAACUCCUACGGGAGGCAGCAGUGAGGAAUAUUGGUCAAUGGACGAGAGUCUGAACCAGCCAAGUAGCGUGAAGGAUGAAGGUCCUACGGAUCGUAAACUUCUUUUAUAAGGGAAUAAAACCUCCCACGUGUGGGAGCUUGUAUGUACCUUAUGAAUAAGCAUCGGCUAACUCCGUGCCAGCAGCCGCGGUAAUACGGAGGAUGCGAGCGUUAUCCGGAUUUAUUGGGUUUAAAGGGAGCGCAGACGGGUCGUUAAGUCAGCUGUGAAAGUUUGGGGCUCAACCUUAAAAUUGCAGUUGAUACUGGCGUCCUUGAGUGCGGUUGAGGUGUGCGGAAUUCGUGGUGUAGCGGUGAAAUGCUUAGAUAUCACGAAGAACUCCGAUUG
Molecule: ribosomal RNA, 694 nt
Filed under: uncultured bacterium
Lineage: Bacteria
Description: bacterial SSU rRNA
Rfam family: Bacterial small subunit ribosomal RNA
Source: RNAcentral